Chiroxiphia lanceolata (lance-tailed manakin) is the source of this 1001-nucleotide long non-coding RNA. RefSeq lists it as uncharacterized. The record is from RefSeq and is a predicted model, not a curated record. Lineage: Eukaryota; Metazoa; Chordata; Aves; Passeriformes; Pipridae. The transcript has 3 exons.
CAACUCCUUGGAGCCUCUGCCGAAGCCCUUCACCACCUCCCCGCGGCAGAAGUACGGCAGGUGCCUCAUGGCGCAGGGCAGAGCCGCCAGCACCGCCAGCCCUGCGCCGCCGCCCCGCUCCGCCGCUACCCCUUCGCACAGGGCGCUACCAACUACAGGGGAGGAUGGGGCGGGGCGCUCUUGCUUUCUCUCCAUACGGCUCUCCGGCGGGGCUUGCCCGCCCUCCGGAAUGGGCUCGUCCGCCCCGCAUGCCCAGUGCGCUGUGUCCGGCGCCCGGAGGCGGUCUCGGGCGGAGCGCGAGUGCCGGCGCUGUGGAGGGCGGCGGGCGCGGUCCCGUGUUACGGUAACAGCCGUGGCCUUCGCUCCUGCCCGCGGGACUCUCACGCUCCGCGCCCCGGGGACAGCAGGGCCCGGUCCCUCCUGCGGCUUCGUGCCAUGGAAACUGAGCAGUGGCAGCUGUGACUGUACUGCACCAGCUGCCACAUCCUGACCCUCUCAUCUGAAAGGCUGCGCGUCGCACCCAGGGCCCACGCGAUAAGGAUCGCCGCUCCCUUGAAAAAGCCUAAAAGCCUGAAGGCAGCUGUCAAAUUACAAAUGAGAUCAACUUGGAGAAAGCAUAAAGACAGCUGUCCCCUUAGUGGAAAUAUAUUUAAGCUAUAUUCCCCUGCACUGUAACUAUCUGCCAUACAGUCACAUCUGUCAGUGGUCUGUCACUGACAGAUAGCAGGAAGGGCAGCUUGUGGACUCUGUCAUCUUCAUAUUCCGGACUCAAGGUUAGAAGAGUAAAAACCAGGUGCAAACCCACUUCAUCCAUUUUUUUUCAGGAUCAGUUGACAAAAACUAUCCAUGAAAGGAACCAUAAGCCAAACACUUAUGGUCCUUGAAAUGUUACAAAGCUGCAAUAAACAAAUGAGUCUUUGACAGCAUGGUCAGCCAAGGAUCACCACCUCUGUAAUCAUGUCAGUCUAUGGAGAACUUCACUUUCUAUCUGUGCAAGAGUU